CGGAGCGCAGAAUCCCGCCUCCGAUUGGAUUUGGCCCAAUGGGAUACAAGGAAAGGUCAAGUCCCGCCUCCCAGGCAGACACCGCCCAAUGGGAGCCUUCGGGGUGGGGCCGCGGGGGCCCGGGGCGCGGAGGCCUGGGAGCUGCGGCUGAACGGAGCCCUUCGCGGCUGCAGGGCCUGCUGCGGGCGGCGCGCUGCGGGAGCCGGCGGUAGGGGGCCCUGUUGAGCCUUCCGAGCCAGCCGACCGCGGCCUCUAACGCCCAGCGCCGCAGACCAGCCGGCGGCUUGACCUCCCGGGAGACUGAGGCCGAGUGUUGCACUUCCACCGCUGGAGGCCUGACACUUGGGCGCUGAGUAGUGAGGAGACUGGAUUGUGUAGACCCCUCCCCUUCACCCCAACCCACCGCCCCCAAACUGUGGCCUCUAUUAUGAGGCCCUUUGUGACCACUUCCUGGAGCCGGGCUGGAGAGGCCUGGGGAGCUGGAGUCUGAGAAGACGGAACGCCUGGCAUAGGGUAAUCUUUACACCCAAUGUGGGGCUCGAACUCACGACCCUGAGAUGAAGAAUCAUGCUCCAAUGACUGAGCCUGCCAGGUGCCCUAGUCUGUGAGCCUUUUUAUUCUAUGACUUCUGGGAUGACUUCCUGGUACUGCACCAGCAGGCUACUAUAGCAUCAAGGUCAUUCCCCACACCACAACCCAGCUCUGACUUGACCAGGUAUACUCUGUGAUAGAACUUCAUUGCUCUUUCCCAGCUCAGUGCUGGGCAAGCUCCUUAGGAAUCUCAAACUACUUGGAGGACUAGCCUUUCUUAUGGUGCUGCAAGGAGAGCAUGGGGCUUCUCAUGCCAGGCCAUGGUCCCAGAGCUUGGGAGAAGCUGACUCUCAGACUGAAUGUCAGAGCUCAGCACCUUAUCAUCAUGCCAAGGACCUGAUGAAGCAGAACAAUUACAACAAAGGAGUUUUGGCAUUUCAGAGUCACAUGGCCUCCAGACACUGGUAGUUUGUGAGUCGCUAGGGAACCAGAGCAUCGGAGAACACAGGCCAGGACUUCUCAGCAUGUGGGAGUUUUUCCACUCCAGCAAGAGCAAGCCGAGAAAAAAGCAGAACUGCAUGUGGGGAGAAGAGGAAAGAGCAAGGCUUCCUGACCCAGAGCUGCAUCUACUCUCUUCAGAAAUACCUGGGAGCUGGGGUGGGGCCCGGACUCGGUUGGAGUGACAAGUGUGGACUGAUCAGUGUCAGAGGGAGGGGAGGGGGGAUGGGGAGACCCGGCUAAGCAGGCCUCUCAGCCAACCACUCCUUCAUUACUUCCAUCAUAUUACCUGCGCCCUUUCUGAGCAUACUUCCCUGGCUGACCAGCCUAGCCAUUCUGCUUGCCUUCUCUCCCAUGUAUUUGGUGAACCCUUUCUCUACCUGGUCUUCAAGGGCUCUCCACCAGGGCUUAGCACUCAAGAGCACUCAGGGUAGGGCAUGGCCUGUAUGGAUGCAUGCAUGACAUUUUGGCCAGACUAGAGGCAGCAAGUUCCCUGGUCCAGGCCUUUUGGUCUCCUUUCCACUGCUCCUCCCUGUCCCACUAGUGUGUGUGACUCUCUGUAAAGCCCCUGGAAAGGAGCCCAUCCCAACACGUGGGGCCCUUGCCUCUGUCCUCCAGCAGUACUGC
RNAcentral lists this long non-coding RNA (1656 nucleotides) under Canis lupus familiaris (dog). RNAcentral's name for it is "lncRNA (ENSCAFG00845009622.1)". The record is from RNAcentral. Lineage: Eukaryota; Metazoa; Chordata; Mammalia; Carnivora; Canidae.